AGCAGUAGCCGCGGGAAUACGGAGGGUGCAAGCGUUAAUCGGAAUUACUGGGCGUAAAGCGUGCGUAGGCGGUUCGUUAAGUCUGUUGUGAAAGCCCCGGGCUCAACCUGGGAAUGGCAAUGGAUACUGGCGAGCUAGAGUGUGUCAGAGGAUGGUGGAAUUCCCGGUGUAGCAGUGAAAUGCGUAGAGAUCGGAAGGAACAUCUGUGGCGAAGGCGACUAUCUGGGCCAACACUGACACUGAGGCACGAAAGCGUGGGGAGCAAACAGGAUUAGAGACCCCUGUAGUCCCUGUCUCUUAUAC
Molecule: ribosomal RNA, 303 nt
Filed under: uncultured bacterium
Lineage: Bacteria
Description: partial 16S ribosomal RNA
Rfam family: Bacterial small subunit ribosomal RNA
Source: RNAcentral